AAUGCUCAUGUUAUUUUCAGAUUUCAAUGCAUGCGGUUUUCAGUUUAACAACCAGGUUCCAUAUGUGGUGUGCGUGCAUUUAAUUUUUGAAGCAUUCCUUAAACCAUAUUCUUUUUUUUUUUUUAAAUAAAUUAAUCACUGUAGUUACAGCUAGUGUCAAAAUACAUCGGUUUUACUACUGUAAAACUUCAGUGAAUGAAUAUCGAAAUUAUAUCCAAAGGUGAAGUCAAACAUUUCCAGCCUAUAAAGACUUGUGUUGCUGCUGGAAAGAAGCCAGGGCAUGUGUCCGUGUUUACCUCGCAGGCACCGGGUCGCACGCUCCUUUCACGCUGAUGUCAGAUUGGCACCACACAUGGAUCACAUCACGGGGCAAAAACCUCCUAAGCGUUCGACCAGCGCAAGAAGUGUUAAAGCU
Long non-coding RNA from Cyprinus carpio (common carp), 415 nucleotides. RefSeq lists it as uncharacterized. NCBI's taxonomy places the organism in Eukaryota, Metazoa, Chordata, Actinopteri, Cypriniformes, Cyprinidae. The record is from RefSeq and is a predicted model, not a curated record. The transcript has 3 exons.